RNAcentral lists this ribosomal RNA (321 nucleotides) under Nematoda environmental sample. RNAcentral describes it as "SSU rRNA". It matches the Rfam family "Eukaryotic small subunit ribosomal RNA", at positions 1300 to 1645 of the family's 1831-position model. Lineage: Eukaryota; Metazoa; Nematoda. The record is from RNAcentral.
GGUGGAGCGAUUUGUCUGGUUAAUUCCGAUAACGAACGAGACUCUGGCCUAUUAAAUAGACGGUAUAUUUAAAAGUAUAUCGCACUUCUUAGAGGGACAAGCGGCGUCUAGCCGCAUGAAAUAGAGCAAUAACAGGUCUGUGAUGCCCUUAGAUGUCCGGGGCUGCACGCGCGCUACACUGAAAGAAUCAGUGGGCGUGAUACCUAGUUCGGAAGGACUGGGUAACCCAAGUAAAUUCUUUCGUGCUUGGGAUAGGGAAUUGCAAUUAUUUCCCUUAAACGAGGAAUUCCCAGUAAAUGCGGGUCAUAAGCUCGCGUUGAU